This 38113-nucleotide long non-coding RNA is filed under the name Gossypium barbadense (sea-island cotton). RNAcentral describes it as "long non-coding RNA (GBAR_LNC007718)". The stretch from base 34059 to 34204 matches the Rfam family "Bacterial small subunit ribosomal RNA", at positions 1052 to 1185 of the family's 1533-position model. Lineage: Eukaryota; Viridiplantae; Streptophyta; Magnoliopsida; Malvales; Malvaceae. The record is from RNAcentral.
UUUUUUUUUUUUUUUUUCCUCUCACUGUUCUUCAUAAAGUCAUUGCAUCUUGAUAUCCAGUUAUAUAUAGAGAGAGAUGUUUACGGUUGCUUGGUUUUCAGGUGCCACAAGUUCUUAUCCAGAAGAUAUUUACUCAAACAUUUUCGUACAUAAAUGUACAAUUGUUUAAUAGGUAAUCUUUUGUGGCUUUUAGAUAGUUCCUUUGUGGUUUUAAUUCAAAAGGUUUCGUUUUGUACUUAUUAGAAUUUGUUAUAAUUUUCCAGCCUUCUUUUACGCCGUGAGUGUUGUACGUUUAGCAACGGAGAAUAUGUUAAAGCUGGGUUAGCAGAGUUAGAGCUCUGGAGUUGCCAAGUGAAAGAAGAGGUAAGGUUUUUAUUUUUUUAUUUUUCUUCUCAUCCGUGUUUGUACACGUAGUUGUUGCUACAUAUUUGCUGGACUAUUUACUUCCUUUUAUUGGCUUAAUUAAGGCCCAUAUUGUGCUGAUUCUAUACCUCACUUGCCUUGAGCUGCAGUAUGCAGGAUCGUCCUGGGAUGAACUUAAGCACAUUAGACAGGCUGUUGGUUUCUUGGUAUGUCAGGCACUCUUUGACAAUAUAGAUAAUGUGAUGGGUUGUUCGUGUAUGUUUGUUUCUGAAGUCCUAUCAGCUUGCAGUCGUUCGAACUCAAUUUUGUUAAUAUGUUUGACACUGCAUAUAGUUUGAGUUAAACAUUAUCAUAUUUAUUAUUAAUAGUUCUCAAAUGCCCCAUUCCGCAAAACCAAUAUGAGUUUGAAUUUAAUAAUUUUAGAUAGGAAAGUGAAAGCUUUAACUUUUGACUUCCCAAAUCAUGACAAUUCAGGAGAGCAGAUGUGGGAGGUGUGGGAAUCUAGAAGGACUGGAUUUACCAUUGCUUCGUUAUUUCCUUUUGAGUGUUGUUAAUUAGAAAUGUCGUUUUAUCCAGAAAAUUAUUUUUACUACUUGAAGAAAGACAUUAGUUUCCAGCUUAUCUCUCUAGAUAUUUAAUAGCAGUAAAUAUAAAGUUCUGCUUCUAACUUGAAUCGUAUUAAAUCCUAUACAGGUUAUACAUCAGAAGUACAGAAUUUCAUAUGAUGACAUUACAAAUGAUCUCUGCCCUGUAAGGCCUUUUUUUUCUCUCUCUCUCUUUUCCCUCCCCAUUUUUCCAAGGUUGUUUGAACGGCCAGUUGGACCGGAAAUUGGCGGGGUGCUGGUUCGGAGAAGGGCCUUGAACUGGUUGACCUGGGAACUGGUACAGACCUGUUGAACUGGGCGGUUGAACCGGAUUUUUAAUAUUUUUUCUAUCUUUUAUGAUUUUUUAAUGAUUUAUUUUGUUGAACUGGUUGGAUCAGCUAACUAGUGCCUUGACUGGUUCGACCACCAGUCCAUUUCUGAAAACAUUGCAUUUUUCUCAUUCUCUUUGACAUUUACUUUUUGUUUCUUCAGAUUCUUAGUGUACAGCAAUUGUACAGAAUAUGUACCCUGUAUUGGGACGACAACUAUAAUACUCGAAGUGUUUCUCCAGAUGUAAGUUUCAAAUACCAAUCUUUCUUCUUGAUUGCUUACAAAGUUCGUAAAGCUGAUAUGAUUAAUAGGCAAACCCGCACUUCGUUACCAGGUUAUUUCCAGCAUGAGGGUAUUAAUGACAGAGGAUUCCAAUGAUGCCGUUAGUAGUUCCUUUUUAUUGGACGACAAUUCCAGGUAAAAAUCCCUUCAUAUUGCCUACAUACGAUGCCCGGUUCUACGUAAAUGUGAAUUCGCAAAGAAUUCAACAUUUCUUUCGUAGCUCGUAUUACGUAACACACAAAACAACUUUGUAGCCAUAUCUAGCAUUCGGAAUCUACAUUGUAGAAACAAAGUAAUGAACUAAUCAGUCCUUCUUAAUACAGCAUUCCCUUCUCAGUUGACGAUCUUUCCAAAUCGCUCCAAGAGAAAGAAUUCUCGGAAGUCAAACCAGCAGACGAACUUCUUCAGAACCCAGCCUUCGAAUUUUUACUCGAGUAAGGCUAAGGAAGCUUUGAAUCGAUCCAUCCCCUAUUUCUUGUGGCAAUGGAGACUUAAAAACCCUAUUGCCAACUAAAAUGAUUGGUGUAAAUUCAUUUUUCAUUUCAUCUAUCACCCUUGAUAUAUAAUUUUUUUCCCAUUACAUCCAUUAAAUUUUCUAUUACUUUUUUUUCUUUGGCAUUUUCAACGAUUUUGGUUUGAUUUUUUUUCUUUUUAAAUUUUAUUUUAUAUUGGUUAUUCUUUUGCCAUAUGGGGCCUGGGUUUUUAUUGUAUAAAGCAACCCCAUAUUAUGGAAACGUACAUGCAUAUAUAAAUAUAUAUUUUAUAUAGUUGAAAAUAUUUAUUACCAUGCUUGAUUUUUAUUUCUAUUUCAGCCUUUCACCUCCAUCUUUAUUUUCAUUGAAAAUUCAAAGUUCUUAUGAUUUAUUGUGGGUUGCUAUGUAUUUGCAUGCUUGUUUGCUGCAAAGAAGAGUUGUGAUGGAAAUAUGAGAAAUAAAAUAUUAAUAAAUUUGGCUGAGUUGAUGCCACUAUUUAAUUUGAUGUGAAAAUUUACUCAAACUAGCCUUUAUGUUCCCAUUUACGCAUAGGAAUUUAUAAUCUUUUCCAUAAUUUAUUUGGUAUUAAUAUUCUUAAUUUUUUAAAUUAUGAAAAUUAAAUUUAAGAUAAUAAUUUACGGUUACUUUAAUUUGUUAAGAUGAUUUCUGAGGCAUGUUUGAGACAGUCAUUUUUAGUGCAUGAUUUAAGCAAAAUUGUUUAAAAAAUAAUAAUUGUUAAGAUGAUUUAUGAAGGCAUGUUUGAUACAAGUAGCUCUUUGAUACAUUUAUUUAGAUCUCUAUCUAUUUUGGUCAAAUUUGUUAGAAGAGAUCGCACACAUGUCUAUUUACUCUUGAUUAUGAUUUUAUCUAAUAUAAUUGCUUAAUCUUGUCCUUUUCUACCAAAAAAAUAAUUAUUAUUUUAAUAUUUUUUUUAUAAAUUAAAUAUAAUUUAAGAGAUCAAUUAACAAUGUUGUCAAUUAAAUUAAAUAAUUUAUUAAAUAAAAGGAAGUGUCCAUUAUUUAACUUAGAAGCAAGUAAAAGGAUUAAAUUUCAAAAUUUUGAAAAGUAUAAGGGAUUGAUAGAUAAUUAUACCUUUUUUCUCUCCUCCUAAAACCCAAAACUAAGAAAAAAGAAAGAAAGCCACUAAGUGUAUAGAUUAAAUAUAAUUUAAUAGAUAUCAAUUAAGAAAUGUUGUCAAUUAAACUUUCUUUAUUAAAUAAAAGAAGUAGAUGGACUACAUUCUUGAAAUUAGAAGCAAGUAAAAAGAAAAAAAUUUUAAAAGUAAAAGUAAAGAGACUAAAUUUUAAAAGUAUGAAAAGUAUAAAGGAUUGAUAGAUAAUUAUACCUUUUUUUCCCUCUUUCUUUCCCUUCCAGCUCUAACCCACACUUCUUCAUUACUCUAUGUUUCUUCUUUUUAUAUAAAGUUAUAGAUUUAUUUUUUAUAUAAAAUAAUAAAUAUUGACUUAAUCAUUUCUUGAUUUAUUUUUAUAUCAAUUUUUUAUAAAUAUAUUUAAUAUAUAAAUAGUUUUUACUUAUAUUAUGGGUAGAUGAUGUAUUGGGUAUGAAUAUAUUUAAUUUUUAUUAAACUUUAUCGCACUCAAUGAGAGAAAAAUAGAAGUGAUAACAAAUUUGUAUUUUAAUAUCAUUAUAUACUUGUUUUUAUCUUUGGAUUUGUAGUUUUAUUUUUUUAAAUGAUAUAAAAGUAUGAAAAUAUGAAAAUGUUAUUACAAAUAUUAAUUUUAAUUUUAAAAAAAGUUUUUAUAUUUUCAUAAUUGAGUUAACGAUACGAUUAAAGAUGACACUAAUUUAAUAAAAUAUUUAAAUAUAAAUAUUAGAGUAUUAAAUUUUAUUUAUAUAUUUGAAAAAAAAUAUUUAUAUUUUUGUAUUCAUAUUUGAGUGUUAAACAUAAAUAUCAAAAAAUCAAAAUAACAUAAUUGAGUACAUGUAAUCCUAAAAUCCCAAAUUUCAUGAUAUGAAUAAAUGAAAUUGAAUGCUAAGCAAGAGGAAUGGGAUUGAUAAUAUAUAUAUAUAUAGGUAAGGAACAUUUGCUUAAGUAACACAUAAUUUAGGAUGAGUCAUAUAUAACAAAUUAUUCUAUGAAAUUCCUAUGAGAGCAACAUGUUAAUUAUUAAAUUGAAUAACUUCAACAUGAUAGUAUAAUUCAAUAAGCCAAAAAAUUUACAUAAGAAUUUUUUUGUCAAUAAAUAAAAAUCCAGUCGAUUGAGUUUUAACUUGGUUGGUAUUGAUAUUGUUGCCAGUGGAGGAGGAUGUAAAUUAAAAUGCAUUGAAGUGCGUUUAUCCUCUUAUUUAAAGGUUGGGGAGAGAUUAUGGAUAAUUCUAGUAAAAACCUAUAAUUGAUGAAUGUGAUUAAGAUAAUUUUUCAGGUAAACUACACAAAUAGUUGUCCAAUUAUCAAAAAAUUUCAUUUUAGGCACUCAAAAUAGAAAGUUUGUAAUUUAAUCACCCAUGUUACGUAGUAUGGUCUUUUCUCCUGUUAAAAUCACAAACAGAAGGCUGACGUGGCAAUUAAAAAUUUUGGUAUGAUAACAAUUCAAAUUUUAAAAAAUUAACCCUCAAAAUUUACAAAUAGUCUCAAUAUAUCCUAAUUCUAAAAAAAGAAAUGUAUAAAAAUACAUAAAUAUUUUCAAAGAAAUAUAAUAAUAAAUUUAAAAUUUAUAUUAAUAUUAAAUAAAUAUAAUUAUAUUAAUAAUAAUUAAAAAAUUAAUUUGAAUAAACUGAAAAUUUUUAAUAGUUGAAUGAUAAUCUGAGUAGUUUAUCCUAAUUUUUCUUUACCCUUAAAAUAAGAUUUCGUCACAUUCCGAUAUUUUAGAAUAAGGUUGUUGGAUCAUAUGGCCAAAAUAAAUUCAAGUGAUGUGGGUGAUGUAUAACUGUUUUGGGAGCCUCUAGAUGCCGUUAGAAAUAUAUUGUUACUUGAGCAUAGUACUCUUUUCUACGUUAAUAGUUUUUUUAAGUUUGUAACCGUUUUGUGUUGAUCUUUUCUAUAAUAAAAAAAGUAAUACACACAUUAUCACAUCUAACAAAUCAUUUUGUAAAAGUCUUAGAAGAGCAACGGAUGGAUCAUUAAAUUGAGUAAUCUUAACAUCAACAUUAUGAUAUGAAGAAGCUAAAAUUUUGCAAAAAAAAACUCACGAUUCAACCUUUCUUCGCGUGAGGGGUUUGAAUUAAACUAUAUAUUUUUAUAAUAGUAAAAAUACAAUUUUAUCAUUUUAAUAGUUUAUAUAUUUAUAAUUUUUAGAGGAUUAAAUAAAAUAUUUAUUAUUUUUAAGAAGAUUAAAAUGUAAUUUUAUUAUUAAUUUAAAAUUUUAUAAGUUAUAAAAUAUCUAAAUAAAAAAUUUUCUAUUGCUAAUCUCAUCUAAAUUUGGCCCUGACUAUAUAUUCCGAGAUAGAGAGGGAAUCUUUUGGACUUUAAGCAAUGAAUUUUGUAAUCCCAUGCUAUGUUAUUCAAUUGUCUUCCUAGAAAACAUUGAAUAAAAACACCUUAUAUCCUAUACACCCAAAAUGUUUUGAAAAAUUACAUUGCUAGCCCACACAAAUUACGUAAUUCCCAAAUAUACCAACUUACAGAACCAAGGGAUGUCACAUUCAAGAGCGCCAGAUAUUCAUCCACAUAGUUUUUUACUCGGGACAAUUCUGUAAUAGAUGUAAUCAAUGUUUUUGGGAUUCAAUUGGUAAUUGAUUGAUUUUUAGUUCAACUAUUUAUUUUGUUCAAAUUAAAUAGUUUUUUUAAAAGUUUAAAUAAAUUUUAAAAUAAAUAUAAAAAAUUAUGAAACUCGAUUUAAUUGAUUUUUAAUUCAAUUCAAUUAAUUUUUAUUGAUUCGCAGAUCGAUGAUUUUCUUUUUUUACCUUGCUUUGGAUAGGUAUAUUGGCCAAUUCCCUAUCAAAUUGAUCUGAUUGACCAAUCUAAACCAUUUGGCUUAAACAACUUUGGAUGCAACAAAAUCUGAUUUAAAUGAAGGGUUAAAAAUUAUUUUUUUGGCUUAGACUUAGCAACUACUCUCAAUUAGAAUUUAAACUUUUUUUUAUCUAAGUUAGUUCUUGUUUUUUUUUUGAAAGCUUUAAAGUUCAAGUCCAAAUAUUAAAAUAAUUACCAAAUUCAAAUUCUAAUAUAAGAAAAUUUGCCUAGUUUAUAAUUUGAAAAAAAAAUAUUUAAGCCCCAAUGUCAAGGACUAUAAACCCAAAAUAGAAGUUAACCCUUAAAUAAUUAUCAAAUAAAAAAAAAAGAUUAUAGAUGAAAAAGCGACAACUAUAUAUGAAAUGAAAAAGCAAUGAUUAGGGGGAGUUGGCAGUCCAUGUGAAAUCCUCAUGGAAUAGCUUCUGCCUUGGAGGUAAGGUAUAAACCUAUCGAGGCAUUUUAGGCUAUAGGCCAUGGACCGCAACCGGACCACCCUCUAUGAUAUCGAGUGCAAAAAAAAUUCCCUCAAUCUAAGCUGCCAAUGGUUAGAGAUUUCCAGUUUCUUGUAUACAUUAUUACAAACAGAAUCAGAAUGUGGAUAAUGAAGAAAGGGUUGGGUUUUGAAUUUGGUCAAAUUGGUCCCCCAUUCACAUUUUCAUCAUCGCCAUUGUUUCUUUCUAUGUGUUUUUUUGUUGUAACCCAUUUAUUAAACUCAUCUCUCUAGAGUUUAGCGUUGGCCCAUUGGCUUUUAUAGGGUCUUGUCUCUCACUUUCAUUAGAAGUCGCACAGGUCUAUUAGAUUAAAAAUUAAUGAGAGAAUCGAUUCGAAAAAAGGUAUUAAACGAAUUAGUCUAAGUUAAAAAUCAGUUGAAUCGAUUGAAUCAGUCAGGCUGACAGACCGAUAGUUUAAUCAAUUUAGCUACAAAUCCAACUCUAAAAUUUUUGGGUGAAACCGGUGCUCAAUAUUAUAGGACAUUCUCUAUUCAUUAUAUACUUCUUAUUUGGUAUAUAUCACGUGGAGAGUGCAUUAUUGUAAAAAUGUAAGUUCAAAUUCAUAAAGAAAAAUUUGAUAUUAACAAAAUCUCAAAAGAUUUAUGGAUACUAAAAGAAAGUAAUUUAAAUUUAUUUCUCUCGAUAAAUUUAAUUAAACGAAUCAUUUAAAAAAAAAUGUUAUCCACAUUUAUCAUGUAACCAUUUAUAGGUACUAAAAAGUUUAAAUUAAAGAUUUUGAAAGAGUCGGAAAAUUGAAAAAUCAAUUUAAUUAAACAAAUCAAAUAAAUAAAUAAAUUCGCAGUCAAUCAAGUCAAAAUAGUUACUUUCAUAUCUAGCUGCCCUAUUUGUCUUGGAAAAUUGAGUUAUGGAUAGUGCUGACUGAUGAUAAAGAUUUUUGGACCACAGUUUCACCUACAACUUUCUAAAUUGGCACAAUCAAACUAUUUUCAAAAUUGGAUGGCUACUAAUUGAAUCAUUUCCAAAAUUUUUGAAAGUUCAUUAAAAAAUUUAAAAAUAUUUUAAUGAGUUUAAUUGAAAAUUUUAAAAAUUUUGAGAGAAAUAGUGUGAUUUUUAAAUUUUUAGAGGAUUUAAUUAAAAUUUUCAAAACUUUUUAGAUAGCUCAAUUAAAAUUUUCAAAAGAUUUGAGAACCUAAUUGAAAAUUUUGGAAGUGUUGAUGACAAAUUUUUUCAUAUUUUUGGAGGGUCCUCUUAUUAUGUUUUUGUCAUUGAACGCUUGUAUUCUCUACUUUAAGAAUGGGGUUAUUUGUUGUUUACAAUUUCAAAAUUUUUUAUUAUUUAAAUUAUCAUUUUUAUCUUAUUUUAAUCUUAAAAAUAUUGACAUUUAAUAAGAAUGUACCACGUAUCAUAUUAUUAUUGAUUUUUUAUUUUUGAGAUAAAUUAAAAUAAAAAUAAUAAUUUAAGUACUCAUAACUUAAGUUUAAAAUAAUUAACUUUAAAUUGCUUAAUAUUUUCAUGGGUAAUUUUUAUUUAUAAAUUAAAAUAAUAAUAAUAAAAUUUUGUUCGUAACUCUAUUUAAAAAUUUUACAAUGUUAUGAAUGGAUGAUUCAAACUCAAAUAAAUUAAUGGUUAAAAAUUCAGUGUUGACAUCUCAAUAAUUGGGGUUUGAGUUCGGGUGCUAACGUCCUCUCUUUUUAAAUCGAUUAAUGUAAGUUUUGAAUUAAAUUUGUUCAACGGUAUGAGUUAUUUGUCCAAUUUCAAAAAUUUAUCGAAAAAUAAUAUUGAGCUCAAAAAUUGAAAUUCGGUAAAAAAUAUUAGACCUAUUUAAAAUAUGAACUAGAUUCGGACUCUAAUAUUUAAACCCGAUCUUGGCUCAAACCAUUCCAUUUUCAAGUUUAUAUAUUAUGUAGCUUAUUCCAUAUGAAAAUUAAAUAUAUUAAAAAUAUAGAAAAAUAUAUUACUAUAAUGUAAAUAUUAAAAAAAAUUUACUAAGUUACUUAUGUUUAAAAAUUCAAUAAAAAAAUAUAACGAUAGUAAAAAUUAUAUUUAAUAAAUAAUAAUUGAAAUAAUCAUAUUUAUAAGAAUAAAAAUAAUAUAGAUUGAACUAAACGGGUCAAAUUUUAAUAACUACAUAUAAUUUACCAUACUAAGCAUAAACUCGAUUGAUAAACACUUUUACUUUGAAUUUUUAUAUAUGGAGAAAGGGGGGAGAUUUUUUUUUUUUUUGACUUAUAAGAGGAAGAUAAAGUUCUAACAAGAACGUGACUAGUGCGACUCAAACGCAAACCACACUUGAGGCAAUGAACACCCUGACUAUCAGACCAACACAUGAGAUUGAGAGGAAGAAACUUUGAUUGUACCAUUUUUUUCUUUAAACUAAACUUCCCAUCAUCCUAAUUUCCCUUAAUAAAGAACAAUUUAAUUAAUUAAUAGUUGGUCAAUAACAGAAUAAUUGACUAUAUUUAACAUCACAUGAAAGUUUGGUGCAAAACAAUGUGAAAAUAUUUAGGGGAAAAAAUCUCAAUUUUUGAUUAAUUUCAAUUCCAUCAAUCUCAAGCAAAUCUCUUAAUUAAUAUUCCAUCCUUGUAAUUUCAGAGGUCUUUUCUACCAUUCCAUGUGGUAUCAUGUGUUUUCAUAUUAACAUAUAAACAUUAUUAAAAUUUCCAAAUCAAUCCAAAAUUUUAUCCUACAAUUAAAUCUUUUUAUGUGUCGAAUUAUAUUGCAACUCGAUUAAAAAAAUUUUAAACUCGAUUUGAUGGCCUAUUUCACUAUUAAUAUAUUAAUAAAUUAUUGAAACAAUAUAAUUUAUAUUAUUUUUAUAUGUUUUAAAAUUAAUUUUAGAUUUAAAUUUUUAUUAUUUAAAUUAAAUUCAGGUCGAACCAUACAAAAUUAAUGUGAAAAGCAUUUGCUCAAACUUGGGCCAAGUGAACUAUUUGACCCAUAAAGAGGUCUAUACACAAUAACUAUAAUUGCAUUCAAUAAUCAAUAUGUAACAAUAAUAAUCGUAUAAAAACUUAUACAAAUAUAUUAAAUUGAAUUUUACAUUGAUAUAUAAAUAUAUUUUUGUUGCAUUUUAUUACUAUUAUUAUAAUUUUUAACAGAGUUGGUGUCACGAAACUUGCUUGAGAAAUUACAAAAUAAUUCAAUUUUUAAAACAAAUAAUCUAUUUAUAGGUUUUGAUAAUAUUUAGUCUUUUUUUAUGUCUAAAACUACCCAUAACCUUUCCUCAACUCAUAAAUAGGAAGAUAAUAUGUUUCAGCGCACUCGAACUUACAUUCUCCUGUAUUAUACUAAUCAAAUUAAGACUUAAUCGAGUUUAAUAUGUUUAUAUUAUUUUUAUUACUUUCAAACUUAGUUUCAUGAUGGAUGAAUGUUUAAUGCAUUAAUUGAAGUUGUUAUUUCCCCUACAAACUCCUGAUUAUGUUGUGCUAUGACUUGAUUCCCCUAAGUUAUUAGAUUUUUUUAUUUUUUUAUAUAUUUGUUACAAUUAUUAUAUUUUUAAUUUAUUUUUUAGACAAUAUUUUAUGAAUUGUUUGAGAAAACGAGUACAAGAAUCAACAAGAUUGUUUGCUAAUUAGAGUCAAACUGAAGUUUGCCUAGUUCUUGACCAACAAAUUAUCUAUAUAAAAUAUUUUCUUGUCCUAUAUGAAGUUUUAUUCUAUUAUUUUAAAAUAUUAAUUUUUUAUAAAUAAAUUUUAGUAAUUUUAUUUUUAUUAUUUAAAUAAUAAAUACAAUCAAAUCAUAACUGUCCAACGCAUGCAUCAAAAAAUAUCAUAAUUUUCGACAACUAACUCUAAACUUUUCUUUUUUUUUAAAAAAAAAAAGGCAUUCAAAUUAUUGUAUCUGAAUUUUAAAAAAUAAUAAUAAUUUCCCAGAAAAUUGAGAAAAUUUUGUAAAUAAAAGAAUUCGAAAAAAUAAAAAAUAAAAAAAUUAUUGCUUAAAGCAAAAGAAGUCAACAAAAAGGUUGACUUGUAGACAUGUUUUAAAGGUAUAUAGUAACAUGAACCCUACUUGACUUAGUUUCUAGUUUUGGGGGGCAGAACAAGUGACUAAUUUUAAUUAUAACUCAUCACAUGGUCUUAAAAAUAAAUAAAUAAAUAAUUAUUACUUAAUUAAAAUGGGACGGUUGUGAUCACUCUUAAGCUACGAUCAUCCUCUGCCUUUGCCUUAAUGUUCUUCUCCUUAAAACCAUGGCCGCCCUUGGAUUUUGUUUGUCCUAUGCAUGUGCUUCAAGCUUAUUAAAAAAAUUAUAUAUUUUUUGAGUUUAAUAAAAUUAAUGUACUAGAUUUAUUUUUUCUUGAAGUAAUAAUUGGGUCCAAUUAAUCACCACCGGUUAGGAAUUAUCUAUUUAUCAUUUUUUAAAUAUAUAUUUAAUUAAAAACAUAGAAAUAAAAUUUUUUGUAUAAGAAACAAGAUAAAAAAUAUAAGGUUAAAAAAUGUUAUAAGUUCAUGUACUCUUUACAAAUUUAGAAUUUAAUCUAUUUACUUUUAUUUUAAGGAAUUUAGUCCCUCUAAUUUUUAAAUUUCAAAAUGCAAGUCCGAUUGUUAAUACUAUUAAAUUGAUUGCUAUGACAUUUUGAAAUUAAAAAAAAAUCACUUGAUAGCCAUGUAACUAAAAAAUGACGUGUAAUGAACCUGAAUUUAACAAAAUAAUUUUAUCAGUGUUAAUAGUUUGACUUGAACUUUGGAAAGUAGAGAGACUAAAUUUUUAGAAGUAAAAAUAUAAUAACUAAAUUUCGGAUUUGUGAAGAGUGCAGGGACUUAUGGCAUAUUUCAACCAAAAUAUAAAUUAUUGAGAGGCUAAAUAAAAAUAUUUAUGUUAAGAGGGGCUACAUUGAUUUAUUAAAUUUCGAGGGAGUCAAAAUACAAUUUCACCGUAUGAAUCAACAAGACAAAGACCUGACAUACUCAUUUCAAACUUGUCUUUUUUUAAAAUAAUAUUAUGUCUAAUAAAUUUUAUUAAUAUUUCCCAUUAUUAAAAUAUUUGUAUUGAAGUUCUCAGUUAACAUUGGUCCUAAGUUCAAUCCCCAAAUAACCAUCACUCCUACCUCUUUAUAAAAAUAUGAAUCUUUAAUUAUAUAUGGGAUUUGAAGAAUCUGAAGUCUGUUAAUAAGGUGUGGCAAAGGAAGUGGGCAUACCUUUUAGCACACACAAAGAUAAAAUGCAAGAAUAGAAUGCAAAAUGUUGUUAACUUAGUUUAAAUAAAACUUUUGUUUAUGAUACCUUGCCCAAAAAAGAAUUUCACUAUUAAAUCUCGUGGUAUAAAACAAUAAUUUAAGUCCAAUCUAUCUUAUUCAUUGAAUAAUUGCAACCUCACCCAAAUACACUUAAUAUGAGCUCUUUCCAAUAAAAACAACUUUAAGGUAAGAAUAAAACAUUCAAAAAAUCCCUUAAUGGAUACAAAAUAUACUCUUUCAUCUACGAGUCCCAUGAAAUAAAGUCAUAUAUACGAGGAGGGAUCUAUUUAGACUUUGUAUGAUUAAUAUUUUAACUAUUCAACUGUCAUAUUUCAUAUUUCAUUCAUAUAGAUCUUGCAUGUCAAAUUUGAUAUAAAUUAAAAUUCUCUAACUAUUUGUCUUACAUAAAAAGCUUUCAACUGUUUAAUAAAUAUUAGCAUAUACACUUUUUUAUAUCAAUAUGAUAAAAAUAUUAAAUCGAUUUAAAAAUUACGAGUACAAUUAUAUUGAUAAAUCUAAUGAUUAAAUUACUAAAAUAUUAAUCGCAAUAUGGGAAAUAUAUAUAGAGGUUGUGAAUAUUGGCUUGUGUUGACCUGUUUAAUCUACUUUUAUCAUGUGCUGGGUAAAUAAGAUAUUAACAUCAUAUAUCAAAACUCUUAUCACCAAAAGAUUAAAACAUUCAGAGCUUGCCAAAUUGCUUCUUUAAGAUAGAGAUUAAUUAUUUUCGAAUUUGAACUCUUCAAUGUAAUUAUAUAAACUUUAUUUUCAUCUUUACGAGUUUUUUUUUACUAGAUUAAUAUAAUUAUAUAAAUUUCUCGAUAAAGAUAAGUCUUCAUCUUGAUCUAGACAAUCAAUAAUUUUGCUGCAUUACAAAACGCAUUGUAAGGUUAUACACCAACCAGAGAUGAAGACAAAGAGGGCAGGCAGUGGUCUUCCCCAAAAUGGUAGAUUUGUCAUUUAAUUCUUUAAGUUUUUUAUGAAAUUACAUGUUAAUGUGGUAGUAAAAUUGCACUUUUAACCUUCUACUAAUUUAUGAUUCAUCUUUGACCCCUUAAAACAUUUUUUUAGCUGCGUCCCUAACCAAAGGUGAAACUAGGAGCCCCUAAAAUAGAAAAAUAAAAUUAUACUUUAACCCCUCUAAAAUAUAAAAAUUUGAUUUAAUUCUUUAAAAAUUAUAAAAAUAUAAAUUAUUUUACUAUAGUAAAAAUUAUAAUUUUAUUUCGGCCCUAAAAGAUUUUCUGAUUUCCCCCUUAACUAACACCAACCAAAUUAAAACAUAUAAUUAACUCUCUCUUUCCAACAUUUCUUCUUGUAGAAUAAACAAAAAUUAAAAUGUAGUUUCUCAAGGAUCCAAUUAGUACAUAGUUAUCGAAAUGAAGGUAAAUGGCAGGCUCCUCAUUUCACCUACAUGCAUCUUUCAUUGUUGCUAAAACGACCACGUAUAUACGUUAAGAUUCUCAUUUAGGAUUUAGGGUCUAAAACACGUUACAUCUAAUGUAAAUGGAUUCGUUUAAUAGAGGUUUAAUACGUAUUAGUCGAGGAUUAAUUAUUAUUAUUGUAAAAGAUUAUAUUUUUUAUACAAUAUUAAAAAUAAAUUAAAUUCGUAUUAAACAUAUAUUUGACAAAAAAUUUAAUCCCUACUCAUAAAAACUUAAAAAAUUAUAAUUACUAUACUAAAUUUAUUGAAUUUGAGAAAAUGCGAUGCAUUAAUAUUAUAUAUGCUUCACUUUAACCAAUGACCCUAGUUAACAUUUUUCCAAUAAAUAGGAGCUAUGAUUAAUCAUUAGUUUUUUUUAAUCGGGACUAAAAGGUAAGAAUUCGAUACAUUCCUAAAUCCCAAAAUAUAAUUGUUGAUUGAAUAACGAAAUGUAUUUAUUAUAAUCUAUUGAGCCUGAUACUUUUCAAGUACCCCGAUUACUAUUCAAAAAUUUUUACAGUCUGAUAAUAUUUUCCUCAAUAAAAUUGUUUGAUUUUUUUUAUUUUCGAUUAAUGUAUUUAUUUCUACUAAAAAACAUUUUCCCAAUAUGUCAUUCCUUUCACUUCUUUUUUAUGUCUUAAAUUUAUUAUUUAUAUUAAUAUAUACCUAGUGAGAUUUUACUUAGAAAUUGGGCAUUAAAUAAUUAUAGUUAAUUCUCUCCAAGCUCUUGGGUAUAUGUUAUUUCAGCUUCACGAGGAAAAAGAUUACUUGGAGUCGGUUUUCUUUUCCUUAUAUAUGAUUAACAAAUAAUUUUCUUUUACUAUAUAAUAACACAUAUGGCAAUGACAUACUUACAUGUAUACACUACUUUAAAGGGGUUAUCUAAAUAAAGACAUAUCACUUAUUUUUCGAAAACUCAAAUUUGAGUAGAUUCUAUGUAUGAAUUUCCCUUAAUCAUUAAGUCAAGCACGAAAAUUUAAAAAUAAUUUCUUAUAAGUUAUAGAGUGGUAAAUAUAUAAUUUAACGCAAUUGUAAUUAUUAUAAUAUUAAAAUAAAUAUUUUAUAAUUAAAAUAAUAACUUAAAAUAGUACCUAAAUUUCUUUUAUUUAUUUGAAAAAUUACUCUUUCAAAAAGUAUUUAUAAAAGGGAAAGCAAUAAAUAAGUAUGCUUUUAUCAAAAUAAAUUUAAAAAAUAAAAAAAUAAUAUAAAAAAAUCCAUUCAAAAUCUACUAUACACGAAUAUCAUGCUUUAAUCGCAUCACAAAGCAUUUCUCAAGUAGAAGUACAUAGAUAAUUAACGAAGCCAAUAGUUUUCUCAUAUUAAAUUACGUUUCAUAUGACACAUAGCGUAGCCAGGCAUGUUCAUUCUAAACAAUUUUAACAUUAAAAUUAACUUGGUGGUAGAACAUGAUCGUAUAUUCCAUUAAUAAAUUUAUAGUUUUUAAUGGUUAAAUAAAUUGAUGUUUAUGCAAUAAGAUAAAAUUAACAACUUUUUUUUGUAUAAAAUAUAUAAAACCAACAAUAUUAAUAAUAUUAAUAAUGAUAUAAUUUGUAUCAGAUUACGCCAGAUGCACAAGGUGAUUGAGAUUAUGUACUAAAUAUAUUUAUAAAAAAAUUGAUAUAAAUAAAUAAAAGGUAUAAAAUGACGAAAAUAUCUUUAAAAUAAUAUAGUUUAUUUUGUAAAAUAAGGAUAUUUUCGUCAUUAUUUAACAGAGUUUAUACUCAUUUAACUCAUGAUACCAAACUUGAUAGAGUAUUUAACGUUAGUAAAGAUAUUUUUGUUAAUCGGACUCAGAAAAUUUGUUUUGAAAUUUUUUUAGGGAAAAUAAAAUAAAAUUGGCUCUCCCCUUUGACUAAAGUUUACCAUAAUGUGGGAAGGGAAAUAUAUAAUAUUAAAACAUUACAUACAAACUUUGACUUUAAUUAAGUUGCUAUUAACUAACUAUAUAGAAUUUCAUGUGACCAUGCAUGGAAUAUAGGUGUGGAUAAACAUUAUGAGAAAAAGUAAGAAAUAAUUCUCAUCAUUAAAUGGGUCACCACAUAUGCAAGUUCAACCUCUAAUUCCCUAAUUUUAAAUUAAAACCAAUGGUUCUCAUCUUUGAAAAAAAAAAUCUAAAUCCAUGUGUGUAGUUCUUUUUGGGGGAUUUAGAAGGGAGGUCGGCACCUUGAAUUGAGAGAAACCCUGUUUGAAAAUUCACAUAAUUAAAUAAUUAUAUAUUUUUGUUGCCUAGUGGGUUACAAACCAAUUUUUUUUUUUAGAAAAUGGGGAUCAUUGCCUCGUGAAAAGAUUUGGUACAGCCAUUAGAUGCAACGUGAAAAUAUUAGGAUUAGUUUCUUUAUAAUUAAAGUAUUGGGUGUUUUUCUCUAUAUAUAUUUAUAUGAUAUGGGUAUUGUUUAUUGACAUGACAUGUUAGAUAGGUUUUAUACAUAUAGACACAUAUUUUACUCUAGAUUCAACAUGUGUUUAUACAAUCUCAUGCACGUGUAAUCUCGCAAGAGAGCUUGGUCUGCGAGCUCAUUAGAAUUCGGCCCAAACUCAUUCAGAUUUUGAACUAGUAAUAAUAAUUAUCCUAACUUAAAUAGAUUAAUUUAGUCUCUAAAAUUAUUAUUUAGUUUAAAAUUCACAUAAAAAAAUAUUAUUUUCGCUUUUGCAAAUUAACUUUUAUUCAAAUUUGAUUUCAUCUAAUUUUUCUUUAAAAUAAUGAUUUAUCGAGAGAGUUGUUAUUAGAUACAAUAAAUUUGACUUUUAGUGACAAUUUAUUGGCGACGUUUGACUUCAAAAUUCUAGUUGAAGGGGAAAAUAAUUAUUAAAAUAAGAGAAAUAGAUGAGUUCAACUUUUAUAUUGCAUUUCAACUUAUCAACCGAAUAUGGAAGUUGGGAUUUGAUCGUUAAUAAUUUUAAUAAAAUAUCUACACAAUGCAUCCCUCAUUAUUUGCUUUCUAUUGUUAAAUUUGACUUCUUAACUAGAUUCUUUACAAUAUAGGCUUUUAAUUUUAGCAUAACAUGCUAUAAGUUAAAAUUUUAUAUUAAAUUAUUAAUUUUUUGGAAGGGACAAAAUUAAAAAUAUAAAUUUUUUCUUAAAUUAAAUUAUUGUUUUUUGACUGAUUGAGUCUUAACUCGAUUAGUAUGGGUAUUGUUGUCAAUGCAGGAGGAUGUAAAUUCGAACGUGUUGAAGUGCAUUAUUCUCUUAUUUGUGAGUUAGGAAGAAAUUAUGGGUAGUUUUAGUAUUCUUCAAAAAGAACAGAUACAGCGAUUGUAUUCAAGAAAAUUCUUUUAUGAUAUAAUCUUUUAAAAAAUCUAAAAUAAUAAUUAAAAGGAAAAGGAAAAAAUAAACGAAAAUAAGAAAGGAAAUCCUUGAAAAUCCAGUCCCUAAAAGUAGAAACGUCGGGUGGUGUGCAAAGCGACGGUGGUGCAAGGCAAAGCUGUUCACUUGGUGUAUGUGCAUGGGUGCCUUUGGGUUCAACACAAAUACACACUACAUUUCCCUCUCAAAUCAAAUAUCAUGCAUGCAUGAAAAUAUGUGCUUAUUUAUAUAUAUAUACACAUAUCUUAUAUAGUUUUUUUUAAAGCUGGAAAAUAAUACUUCUUUGGAAAUGAUUUUAUAUUAUAUGGUAAACUAUAUACAUAGAAACUCCAAACCAAGAAAACGGCUCUUACUCUCUUUUUCUUUUUUUCAUGAAAAGGAGAGACAUUCAUUGGGAACUCAAGGGUCGUCCACAUGCAAUCCAAUUACCAACCAAAAAAUUUUAAACCCUAAAUUUUAUUCCAUGAAGGUACAAUUACGAUUAAACCCUAAAUAUUUAAAAGCUUUCCAGCCACAGAACCAUGCAUCAUCAUAAUCAAAAUUUUAAAAAAAAGGGAAUGCAACAAAAGGCUUUAAUUAUGAGGAGGAAUGGGCAUGCUGUUGUUCCAAUAGGGUCGGAAGCGUGUAAAUUAUUGUACUAAAAAAUCACACAAAGUUCAAUUCCCAGGGAAGAGAGGUGGAUCACAUGGAUCUCUUAAAUACCAAGUCUUUCCUUAGUCAGAAUAUCCAUUCUAUAGUAAUUUAAUAGCACAAUUAAAUACUACUAUUAUACCCUCAAAUAUUGAAAAAAAAAUAGGACAAAAAGAACAUAAGAGUUUUAACGAGGUUCGGUAAAUUAUACCUACGUCCUCGGGCACUAACACUAGAUGAUAACUUUACUAUCUCCAAAAUAUUACAAACAAAUAGAAUUCCUUAAGAAUUCUCAAAUGGGAGAAGAGAGAAAACUAAGAGAGAAAGAUUGGUUGGGAUGAAUUGAAAUGAGAAAUGAGAAGGCCUAUUUAUAGUUGAGGUUCAAGGACCAAACAAUAAAUAGCCCAUUAUCUCAAGGACCAAAAAAAAAUUAUCCCUUGCCACUUUUCCAAAGUUGGUGGUUGUCAUUAUUGAUUGUCUCCCAUUAAUGUUAAUGGCAACCAUUAUUAAUUGUCUUCCAUUAAUGUUAACAAUCUCCACCUUGAAGAUUUGAUUAGGAUAAUCACAUCUUCACACACUUCCUUCAACUCCCCAAAUUCGAUAAAGCUAUCUUUUGUAGUGCCUACAAAUGCGCUCUCGAGCGCCAUACACCUGAAGGUGCUCAAAUUCUCAGGAUGUUAAUCAAGUUCAAACAAUGAUUAAACUUGAUUGUUGUUACCACCUUGGUCAUCAUAUCUGCGGGAUUAUCUGCUGUCGGAAUCUUCUGAAGUAGAAUUUUUCCUUUUUCAAAGACUUCCCGCACAAAGUGAUAUCUUACGUCGAUAUGCUUGGUUCUUGAAUGAUAGACUUGAUUUUUCACUAAAUGAAUAGCGCUCUGACUGUCACAAUAUAAACUUAUGUGACUUUGAACAACUCCUAAGUCUUUCAACAAUCCAUUAAGCCAAAUAGCCUCCUUAACAGCUUCUGUAACUGCCAUAUAUUCUGCCUCUGUAGUAGACACAGCUACUGUAGACUGUAAGGUAGACUUCCAACUCACUAGGGCUUUCGCAAGAGUAAACAGAUACCCCGUAGUUGAACGACGUUUAUCUAAAUCACCAGCAAAGUCGGAAUCAACAUAUCCAACUACAAACUGACCAAGUGCUUCACCCUUCUCAAAAAUUAAACCAACAUCUACGAUUUUUCGAAGAUACCGUAGAAUCCAUUUCACAGCUUGCCAAUGUCCUUUUCCAGGAUCAUGCAUAUACCUGCUCACAACUCCAACAGCUUGUGAAAUGUCAGGCCUCGUACACACCAUUGCAUACAUCAAACUCCCAACUGCAUUAGCAUAUGGGACUUUCGCCAUAUAUUCUCUUUCUUCUUCAGUUUUCGGAGAUAAUUGAGCACUAAGUUUCAAAUGAGAAGCAAGUGGGGUACUUACAUGUUUUGUGUUUUCAUUUACACCAAAACAUUGUAAUACCUUUUUCAGAUAUUGCUUCUGAUUCAAACAAAGCUUGCCUCUCUGUCUAUCUCUACUUAUCUCCAUGCCGAGAAACUUCUUGGCCUCACCUAGAUCUUUCAUCUCGAACUCUUGAUUCAACUGAGCCUUCAGCUUAUCUAUCUCAUUUUGGCUCUUCGAAGCGAUUAACAUAUCAUCAACAUACAAGAGUAGAUAAAUGAAAGAUCCGUCAUGCAGCUUCUGCAAAUAUACACAAUUGUCAUAUUUGCUUCUUGUGUACUUCUGCCUUCUCAUAAAGCUAUCAAAUCGCUUGUACCACUGCCUCGGGAAUUGCUUCAAUCCAUAUAGCGAUUUGUUAAGCUUACAAACCCAAUUUAUACCACCAGCAUCUGUGUAUCCUUCUGGCUGAGUCAUAUAGAUCUCCUCUUCUAACUCACCAUGCAAGAAAGCCGUCUUAACAUCAAGUUGAGCUAGCUCCAAAUUCAACUGUGCUACCAAGGCCAACAAAAUUCUAAUGGAGGAAUGCUUCACAACAGGGGAAAAUACAUCAUUGUAGUCAAUUCCCUCCUUCUGAGCGUAGCCUUUAGCUACCAAUCUUGCCUUGUAGCGAAUAUCCUUCUUGCUAGGAGAUCCAUCUUUCUUUGCGAAUACCCACUUACAUCCGAUUGCCCUUUUACCUUUCGGUAAUUGCGCCAACUCCCAAGUAUUGUUCUUCCGGAGAGACUGCAUUUCUUCAUCCAUGGCGCUUUUCCAUUUAUCACUUUCUAAGCUUUGCAUUGCUUCUUGAUAAGUGAUAGGAAUAUCAUCAACAACGGGAAGGGCGUAGGCCACCAUAUCAGUAAAUCAAGUAGGUUUACGAAUUUCUCUCCGUGGCCUUGCAACUACAACUGGUUCUGGUGUACUUAGUGGUUCUUGGGUCAGAACCUCUUCAACCUCUAAUUCCUCCAUUGUGGCUGGAGAAUUAGACUUAUUAACUGGGCAAAUCCCCAUCUGCUCAAACUCCACCUGUUUUGGAGUACACUCCACCUGUUGUGGAGUAUUGCUCGUCUGAAUAUCUUUAUCUGCUACCUUUUUCAAUGUGGCAGAUUCAUCAAAGGUAACAUCUCUGCUACAGAUCAUUUUCUUUGUGCUUAAGCACCAAAGACGAAAUCCCUUCACUCCAGAAGUGAUUCCCAUAAAGAGAGCUUUCUUUGCCCUCAGAUCUAACUUUGACUCCUUUACAUGGUAAUAUACAGUGGUUCCGAACACAUGUAAGGAAUCAUAAUCUGUAGCCGGUUUUCCAGACCAUACCUCCAUAGGAGUUUUUCUUUCUAAUGCAGAUGAUGGCAAACGAUUAACAAGAUGGCCAGCGUAUGUCACAGCCUUAGCCCAAAAUUGCUUGCCCAACCCAGCAUUGGACAACAUACAUCGAACUUUCUCCAGCAAUGUUCGAUUCAUACGCUCUGCCAAUCUAUUCUGCUGUGGUGUAUCCCUAACUGUGAAGUGUCGAACAAUACCAUACUCUUGGCACACAUCGAAGAACGGAUCACUUUUAUAUUCCCCUCCAUUGUCCGUCCUAAGCCGCUUGAUUUUCUUGCCAGUCUGGUUUUCGAUCAUAGUUUUCCAUUUAAGAAAAACUCUAAGCACUUCAUCCUUAGUUCUCAUGGUAUACACCCAAACUCUUCUGGAAAAGUCAUCAACAAAAGUAACAAAGUAGUGUUUUCCUCCCAAUGAAGGUGUCUUGGAAGGCCCCCACACAUCUGAGUGAACAUAUUCCAAAAUACCUUUUGUAUUAUGGAUAGCAGUACCGAAUUUCACUCUCUUUUGCUUUCCCAGAACACAAUACUCGCAAAAUUUUAAUUUGCAAGCCUUUGCACCUUUCAACAAUCCUUGCUUUGCCAGAAUUUGCAAGGAUUUUUCGCUGGCAUGUCCCAACUUCAUAUGCCACAACUGUAUUGAGUCUAAUUCUUUGUUGCCGGAAGCUGCAGCGACUGCUCCAAUAACUGUACUACCUUGGUAGUAAUACAAGUUAUUUUUUCUGAUGCCCUUCAAUAUCACAAGUGCGCCAGAUGUCACUUUCAAAAUCCCAUCUCUCAUAGUAACAACUGAUCCAUUGGAUUCCAGGGCUCCCAAUGAGAUGAGAUUUUUCUUCAAACUGGGCACGUACCGAACAUCAGUCAGAACUCUGGUUGAUCCAUCUUUAUUCUUUAAUUGGAUUGAACCUAUCCCAACAGUUUUACAGGCAUUGUCAUUGCCCAUAUAAACAACUCCUCCGUUUAGUUCUACUAAAUCAGAGAACCACUCCCGGUUAGGGGACAUAUGAUAGGUACAACUCGAAUCCAAUAUCCACUCAUCUGAAUGGAACGACGAUGAUGAUGCAACCAGUGAUAGUUCAGAGUCACUGGUAUCAUGCUUUGCAACACAAGCAUCUACAGCAGUUUUUCCCUUAUUCUUCAGCUUUGGACAAUUUUUCUUCCAGUGGCCUUUCUAAUGACAAAAAGUACAUUCAUCUUUCCCGAGUCUGGACUUUGACUUUGAUCUCCCCUUUUGAGUUUUCUUCCGAGUGUAUGAACGACCUCGGACUACUAAAGCUUCUGUAUCUCUGAUUGAGUUUUUCUGUUUGUCCUUCUUUCUCUGUUCAUAACUGUAUAAGGCCGCACAGACUUCGCUCAGAGAUAUAUCACUCCUGCCAUGAAGUAGAGUAGUUUCUAGGAACUCAAACUCCUCAGGAAGUGACCCCAACAGCAUCAAAGCCAAAUCUUCAUCUUUGAAUGUCUCAUCCAUAUUCAGCAAAUCAGUGACUAACUGAUUAAAUUAGGUGAUGUGAUCAUUCAUUGUGGUACUUGGGACGUAUGUGAAGCGAAACAGUCUUUUCUUCAAGUGGAGUUUAUUUUGACUGUUUUUCUUCAAAAAAUUUUCUUCAAGUGCCACCCACAACUUAUUUGCAGAAGUCUCCUUUGAAAAAGCAUACCUCUGCUCUCGAGAAAGGCAUGAUCGAAUUGUGCCACAUGCCAACCGAUUGAUCGCCUUCCAAUCUUUCUCUUGUACAUCAUCUGGUUUCUCUUAAUCAAUGGCAAUGUCUAGACCCUGCUGAAAAAGGGCAUCUAGAACCUCACUUUGCCACAUACCAAAAUGGCCCGUGCCAUCAAAGAUCUCCACGGCCAAUCUUGCAUUUGCAAUUGUCGGUCUUGUCCACAUGGACGAUGUUGAAGCUCCUACACCGACCGUUUUCUCCAUAAUCUUUCAAUAUACCUAAGGAAAUCUUUUCUGAUGUGGAAGAUCAGUUCAAACUGCAACCACAGAGCAUACUACGAUUAACCUUCGGCUCUGAUACCACUUGUUGUUCCAAUAGGGUUGGAAGCGUGUAAAUUAUUGUACUAAAAAAUCACACAAAGUUCAAUUCCCAAGGAAGAGAGGUGGAUCACAUGGAUCUCUUAAAUACCAAGUCUUUCCUUAGUCAGAAUAUCCCUUCUAUAGUAAUUUAAUAGCACAAUUAAAUACUACUAUUAUACCCUCAAAUAUUGAAAGAAAAAUAGGACAAAAAGAACAUAAGAGUUUUAACGAGGUUCGGUAAAUUAUACCUACAUCCUCGGGCACUAACACCAGAUGAUAACUUUACUAUCUCCAAAAUAUUACAAACAAAUAGAAUUCCUUAAGAAUUCUCAAAUGGGAGAAGAGAGAAAACUAAGAGAGAAAGAUUGGUUGGGAUGAAUUGAAAUGAGAAAUGAGAAGGCUUAUUUAUAGUUGAGGUUCAAGGACCAAACAAUAAAUAGCCCAUUAUCUCAAGGACCAAAAAAAAAUUAUCCCUUGUCACUUUUCCAAAGUUGGUGGUUGUCAUUAUUGAUUGUCUCCCAUUAAUGUUAAUGGCAACCAUUAUUAAUUAUCUUCCAUUAAUGUUAACACAUGCAUGCAUGCAUGUGUGUCGAACUAACGAGCAUUUGCCGAAAACAAGACGGCCUUCCCAUGUACCUUGAAGUUUCUUUUUUUUUUUUUGUAAGUUUCAAUAUAUCGUAACAAUCAAAACCGUGUAUAAUUACUGUAUUAUGCUUUGAACCUCUAUUCCAUUCCUUACCUAGUACUCCACAAUUAAUCUUUUUAAUUUGAAUAAAGUAUAUAUAUUCUCUCUUCUUUACAUUCAUUCCCACCCAUUAAUUGCUGGAGGCUUGUUACAUAAAUAUUAUGUGCUACAUAAGCUUUUCUUUUAAACGUAUGUAGACCAUUUUCAAGGAUCUUAAUGGACCAUGCAAAGAAGCUUAGAAACAAAUAGAUAAAAAAAAAGUCUCUGUGUGUGUUGUUUCUCAAAUAAAUACUAGCAAAACAGUGGAGAGUAGCUAGUGAAGUGAUAGAGCAGAUUUCUUGGAAGGGAUAUCGAGGGAUUGGGUUGGAAAAUGGUGUGAAAAUUUAGUAAACAAAUAGAAGAUGAGGGAAAACUUGUGUGGAAGACAGUUGGCGAAAUGGGGUUUGUGUGGGUAGAAACAGCCUUUCAGGUGUUAAUCCCAAAGGAGAGGAGCUGUUGAUUAUGACACUGUGUGUGUGUGUGUGUGUGUGAAGAAACCCUUACUUGGCUUAGUUGCCUCAUCCACUCCACGUGGGAGCAUUGCCUAUAUCCCACUCACAACUUGCCUAUAUGUCAUCAAUGUAAGUGUUUUAUUGUUGAAAUUCAUACAAAGUGACGAGUAAGGGCUUUAGCCCCUUGGUAGUAUAAUUAUGAUUAUAAUGCCUCUCAAAUGUCACUCUACAAUACAAUUAUUUUUUGUUUCGUCUCUCCAAUUUUUUUAGUUAAUUAUCUCGAUUCUUUGUAUAUAUAUUCGAACCACUAUUGGUCAUAUUUCUCUUUGCCGAGAAACCGAAGAAGCUAUACAAGAGUUUUUUCGGGCCUACUCAUAUGAUACACAAUCAUAUGGUAUCUAAGCUAAAAAAUUCUAUGACACCAAAAUGAAUUCGGGUCUCUCCAGUUCAACUAGGACCCCAGUUCCUGACCCAACUUUCUACCAAAAUCAAGAUCAAGAAAAGAAAGUUUUCCAAUCAUUGACUCAAACCUAUUGGCGAAGUCCACUUAGCAAAAUAAGGUGGUAUUUAUGGCCAGCAAGCCACUGCUACAUCCAUUUCAUUAGGAUGACUGACCCUUGAUCUUAGUACCACACACUGAAAUACUUAAAUUUAAGAUUUUAUCAUUGUAUUUUAGUUGAGUAUAAUGUCCAUCCAAUUCAUCAUGCUAAUAUGAAUUUUUUUUGACACAAUGCAUAGAACUACCCCUAGUCCCUUCCCAACCCAUAAACAGGAGAAUAAUGUGUUUUAGUACAUUUGAACUCAUGUCCUCUUGUAUUGGCAACAAUGCCCAUAUCAAUUGGCUAACAUGAAUCUUUUUAUGAUCAAAGCAGUUGUGAGUUGAUACAGAGGGAGCUAUUUUUUCGAAAACUUAUUAUUAUCACUUAAGUUUUGAGGCGUUACCCUUUUUGUAACAAAAAAAAUUAUAUCUACAUUUUAAUUAACUAAAAAAAAUUAUAUUGACAUUUUAAUUGCAAUAGUUAAUGAUGUAUGUCUAUAUGAACAAAUUAAUAAUAUUAUAAAAAUAAAAUGAUCAAAUUAUAUUAAAUCAAAAUAUAAAAUCAAAAUCAAAAUUUUAAUAAAAUAGAAAUACCAAAAUCAAGAUUUUCCCUUAUUAUUAAUUUUUUGAGUAUUGAGGAAGAAACUCUUUGGAGAGGUCCAUAGAAUCAAAUGAGGAUGUUUCGACUGUUGUGUCAUUUUCUUUGCUCCCCAAUAUAUUCCCUCUCAGCUCUCUGCUUCAUCUUAUAUUUAUGCUAAUUGAUUUUUAGUUGUGGUAUAUGAAAUCUAAAAUAUUAAAAUCGAUAUUAUUGAAAAAGAUUUUACUUAAAUAUUAUUCAAUCAUAAAACGGACACCUAUAAUUAUAAAAGAAAAAUAGUAUAUAGAAUCUAAAGCUUGCUAUUAAACCAUUUAGACUCCAAAUUAUUUUCAUUAGGCCCUUAAUGAUUCUUCUCAAUAUCUGCAUAUUCGAAUGUGUGGAAAUAAAAAAAAUUUUACGCUUUUAAUUAUUUUUAUUAGGUAAAACGAUAAAUUUAGUCCCUACGGUUUAAUUUUUGUUACUUUAGCUUUAAUUAUUUUUUGGGAAUCAUUUUAACACCUUAUCAACAUUUAAAUUUUGGUCAUUUACUUUUCUUAGUUGGAAAAAUAGACUAUAAUGUUGAAAUUUUAACUAUAGUGACAUGGUAGCCCACAUGAUAAAUCGUGUGUGCUUCAUAAAAUUUUAAAAGAAAAUAAAAAAUUUCAGAAAGAAGCUCAUAAAAAAUAAAAAUGAUUAUCCACCACAGCAAUGAAGUAUAUACAUGAAUUGCUACACAGGUUGCUACGUCAGUGUGGUUAAAAUUUUAAUAGUUCAAUCAACUUUUCUAUUUAAAGAAAACCUUGAUUAAAUUUUGAAAGUUGAACACUAAAAUAAUUUAAAAAACUAGAGCUAAAAAAAAUUUAAAAAAAAAGAGAUAAAUAUUAAACUAAAUUUAUUAUUAUAUAAAAGUUCAAUCAUUCAAUUUUCUUUGAAGAAUUUAAUCAUUCAAUUUUGUAUAAUCAUGAUUUCAUCUAAAGGAAAGAAUAAAUAUCCUUGAACAAUUUUUUCUUAAACCAAGUAUAAUCUAUAUAAGAUCUAUUAAUAUUUUUUUUAUUCCAUAAUAAAACAAAAAACAAAACUUAGCCAUUAGCUUAUAUGAUUUGAAAGCCCUUUGAGAUCACAUUAAUUAUUGAAUGUCAUCACAUGGUCCUUCACUCCUUGACUCCCUUUCACACCACCACCACUUCCUCUAUAUAAACACACCCCCAUUACCUCAAAUCCUUCCAUAUCAACAACAACAACUACAACAAAUCAAGAACAUCAAAUUUCAUCCAUUUUCAGUUCAUCAAAAAAAAAAACUUACUUUUUUUUUUCAAAAACCCUUUAGCCAAAACUUAAAAACAAUGGAGAACUUGUUUAGACUUGUGGAUCAAGAUCAAGGUUUCUUUCAACGUAAAUGGACAUUGGUCAAUGGUCCAUUGAUAGUAGGUGCUGGUCCAUCAGGGUUAGCCACUGCUGCUUGUCUUAGAGAACAAGGUGUCCCUUUUGUUGUCCUCGAAAGAGCCGAAUGCAUAGCAUCUCUAUGGCAAAAACGAGCCUAUGAUCGGCUCAAACUUCAUCUUCCUAAACAGUUUUGUCAACUCCCUAAAGUACCAUUCCCUGAAGAUUUCCCUGAGUACCCAACAAAGAAACAGUUCAUUGAAUACCUUGAAUCAUACGCUAAGCGUUUUGAUAUUAACCCAAAGUUCAAUGAGUGUGUACAAUCAGCUAGGUACGAUGAAACCAGUGGUUUUUGGAGGGUUAAGACGGUAAGAGGCUCUAAUAAAGCCGAGUUCGAGUACAUUUGCCGAUGGCUAGUUGUGGCCACCGGCGAAAAUGCCGAGUCAGUGGUGCCGGAUAUCGACGGAUUGGCCGACUUUGGUGGUGAAGUUAUUCAUGCUAGUGAAUAUAAAUCCGGUGAGAAAUUCAAAGGCCAAAAUGUACUCGUCGUUGGUUGUGGUAAUUCAGGGAUGGAAGUUUCACUUGACCUUGCUAACCAUAAUGCUUCACCUUCAAUGGUGGUUCGCAGCUCGGUGAGUUUCAUUAUUUAAACAAAUAAAGUAAUCGAUUUCAUCAUUGGAUUGAAUUCUAAUGAUGGGUUUCUUUUUAUGUUUUAACAGGUUCAUGUAUUACCAAGAGAAGUUUUGGGGAAAUCGACGUUUGAAUUAGCUGUUUUGAUGAUGAAAUGGCUACCACUUUGGCUCGUCGACAUGAUUUUGUUGAUUUUGGCCUGGUUGGUGCUGGGAAAUAUUGAGAAAUAUGGAUUGAAAAGGCCAUUGAUGGGUCCAUUAGAGCUUAAGAACAGUAAAGGGAAAACACCGGUGUUGGAUAUUGGUGCAUUGGAGAAAAUCAAAUCGGGUGAUAUUCAAGUUGUUCCUGGAAUAAAGCGGUUCUCACGUGGACGACUUGAGCUCGUUAAUGGUGAGAAACUCGACGUUGACUCAGUUGUUUUAGCCACUGGGUACCGUAGUAAUGUUCCCUCUUGGCUUCAGGUGAGAAAAUUGUUUUAGACUCUUAUAUAUACAUGUUGGUAAAAUUUAGAUUUUAGUCCCUUUAUUUUGUUUAAAUUUGAAUUUUACUUCUUAUAUUUUAGCCAAUUUAUCACUUUACCAUAAUAUCAAACUAACUAUUUUUUAUAAUUCAAUUUCAACUCUUUCUAAAAAAAUUUCUAAAUUCUCCCUGCUUCGAACUCAACUAUGUUAGAAUGAUGCUUUAAAAAAAAACUAAAAUUAUUAUUUUUAUUCAAAAUAGUCAACAAUAUUGACUAUUUGAAUCAACUAAUGACAUUAUAAAAUUAAAAGAAUCAAAUUAUAUCAAAUUAAAAUAUAGAGAAAGUAAAAUUUGAAUUUAAACAUAUCAUUAAAGGGACUAAAAUAUAAAUUUUGACCCUAUUAUCUCAAACCACAAACAUUUAUUAAUGCUGUUUUUAUUAUGAAAAAAACAGGAAGGUGAAUUUUUCUCCAAGAAUGGAUUCCCAAAGGCACCAUUCCCAAAUGGAUGGAAAGGGAAAGGUGGACUGUAUGCAGUUGGGUUCACUAGAAGAGGCCUAUCUGGUGCUUCCUCAGAUGCCAUUAACAUUGCUCAAGAUAUUGGCAAAGCUUGGAAACAAGAAAAUAAGCAGCCCAAAAAGAGGACCAUUGCUUGCCAUAGGCGAUGCAUUUCACUUUCACAGUUCUAAAUUUCUUAUAUAUAUAUAUAUAUAUCAGCAGUAGCAUGGGAACAUAACUUUACCUUUGUUCUUUUGUUUUAUUUUUUUCAUGGUGUAAGAAGAAGAAAAAAAAUAGGUAGUAGUAAAAUAGCACCCACUGGCAAAUAAAUUAUAGUCAUUGCUGUUGAUGGUGAAUACCUUGAUUACGAUCAACAUAGAGCCCUCUCUCCAAAAGCCCAAGUUGGUUUUUUAUUUCUUUGGGCAUUUUGUAUUAUGAGAUGAUGAGGCUUUUUCUCUUUUCUUUUCAUAUAUAACAUUUGUACUUUGUAUUAUUAUUGUUAAGUAAAAAUUAUAGUUAAAAUAUGCUUUAGGUCUUGUAUUCUUAUUUUUAUUUUACAUUUGCAAUGUAAUUUUUCUAUUUUUAUUUUUAAGAAAUUUAGGCCUUCUUUGAUUAAAUGUUUAAAAAAUUAAUUUUUAAAAUAUUUUUAAUAAUUCACAAUGAAAACUACUAUAUAAUUUUUUUAACAAAAAAGUAUAGAAAAUGAUAGAGAGAGACACCUACUUAUCACUUAACUUUUUUUUUAAAAAAAAUUAAGAUUGUAUUAUCUUUUAUCAAAUAAUAUAAUUAUAUUCAAUAUUUAAUUUUAAGUAAUAUACUAAAUGGAUUUUAUAACUUAAAUUCAAUGGUUAUUUUGUCGGUACUUAAUUUUAAGCAUUAGCCUCUCUAUUUUUCAACACUUAAUUUUUCAAUUUAUCAAACAUAGCUUUAGUCUCUUUACUUUUCAAUUUUAAAACUGCAAGUUCAAUUAUUGACAUAGAAAUUUUUUUUGUUAAAUUUAGAUUCAUUACACCGUCAUAGUAAAUUAAAUAGAAAAAUUUUAACGAUAUUAAUAAUUAGACUUAAAUUUUGAAAUAUUAAAAAUGAAAAAAAAUUAAAAAUAAAAGUAGGGAUGAGAGAGAGAAUAUUUUACCUUUCCCUUUCUUUAUUUUUGUUAAUUGGUUUUCAAGAUUUUUAUCAUUUCACAAUAAGUUGCAAAGCACAAAUAUUAAUCGCUAUUAAGUCCAUUUUCAUCUUUUUUUGGUAGAAAGAAAUAUAGGUAAAGCCCAAAUACAGUAAAAUAUGCUAAUUACUAAUUGAUUCCUCGAGAAAACUUGAAUGAGAAUCCUCUUCUAAUAUCGUCUUGAUUUCAUGCGUUGGUUAAGAACCAUGAGAUGCCUAAUAUCACUAUUUAUCAUCUUUGCUAAAUGAUCUGUCACUUUAUUAAAUGAUCUUCGAAUACUUCUAAAUUUACUCUUAAUCUUUGAGACACGAGUCACAAAUUAACUGAAUUUCAACAACAUUACUCACCGAUGCAAGACCCAUUUGAAGAAUUUCAAUAAACAAAACAUCGUUACUUUCCAAUUUCACUUACUUAAACCCUUUAUUCCAACCCUUUAUUCCAAGAAAGUUGCAAUCCUUCGAGUCCAUUUUCGUUAUUGAUUCUCAUUGGUUUUUCUUAUUUAAUUGAUCAAGUCUUGGGUUUGGACUUUUGAACGAUCUCUCUUUUUAGAAUGUACAUAUAUAUAUAUAUAGGGAAAGCCCUCUUGUCGAUGUACAUUCUGGUCCUAAAGGAUUUAGAUAGGUGGGAGAUCUCUUCUUUCUUCACCGCAACCUUUAGGAGAUUCGAUUGCUAUUUUCAGCUCAAAACUAGAUAGCUAUUCCUCAUUUAGCAUUUAGAUAGGAAAGAGAAUGGCCGCUUAUAUAUAUGUGUGUGUAUAUAUAUGCAAAUAUGCUUACAAAAAAGCCCAAUUGAUUCAAUGUUUAAGAUCUGCAAGUUGUCCAUUAGGGUCUUAUUUAUAGAUGGGUAGAAACCCAUGUUCAUGAUGUAUCAUGGAACAAGCACCUUUCUCUCAUCUUUGGUGAUAGAUGGAGAGGAAAUAAAAAAAAUUAGGUUAAAAUUAAAUUAUAAUUUUUUAAAUCAAAAUAUAAUUUUAUAUUAUAUUAAUUUAUAAUUUGUUGAUAUUUAAAGAGGUUAAAGAGCUUUUUUUUUAAAAAAAUAGGGUUAAAGUUUAAAUUUUCUAUAUAUUAAUUUCUAAUUUUAUCAUUUGUGAAGAAUUAAAAGACAAGUUUUCUAAAUUGGAGUCAAGACCCCUACUUGCACCUCUCUAAAUUUGCAUAUGCUAAUACACCACUAUUUCCUUAAAUAUUAUUAUCUUUUUCAUUGAAAAACUUACUAAAAUAAUCAUUUGGAUAGACGAUGAGAUUGACUCUGAUGAGAUUAAUCAUUGUAGCAUUGUGAUCAAGUAUUGCAGUGGUGAAAUUGACAUUAGUGAUAACAUAUGUGUUUGGAUGCAAACAUAAAAGUGGGGUGAGCUGAAAGUAAAAUAUGAUUAUUAACAUCAUCAUAUUAAAUUUUUUAUUUAUGAAAAUUUUAAUUUAGUUGAUACUUUUGAUAUAAAAAAAUAUAUUAUAUUAGUAAUGGGCCAAAUCCGUCCAGGCCCAAUUAAACCCAAAAUGCCCCAAGCCUCAAAAAAAACCCUAGCCCAAUACAUUAAAAAAAUCAGAAAAAAGAAACAAAAAAAAAACCUAAGUUCAGCCGCCGUACCAUCGCCCAUACCUUCUGCCUUCAACCACUCUCUGCCAUCCCUGAGAAACAAACCAAAGAAGAGCAGAUAAACACAACACGCAAACAGUAGCAGAAACAUUUUUUUUAAUAUUUGUAAUCGGCUUUAAAAGGCCGAAUAAUGAAUGUAAAAGGGGGACUCUUUUCAAAAUUCAAAAAACGAAGAAAUUAAUCAAAAAGAGACCAAGAAUUUCGAAAGGUUUUUUUUAUCCUUUUUAUUUUUUAUUUUUGAUAAAAUAAAUAAAUAAGCAAAACAUACCUGUUGUCUUGUUUUCUCACCACGGUUAAAGGCCGUCGCCGGCGUUUUGAUGCCACAAACCCGUUGGGUUCCCAACGAGGGUUUAAAAGAGGGAAAUAGGAUUGGAAAUAACCCUUUUUUCUUCCCUUUUAUUUCUGAUUUUUGGUUUUAAAAAAGGAGAUAGAGAUCAAAUAAGGGGGGAAGAGACUUAUCUUAGUAUUGACUCCUUCGAGUCCUUGCUUGCUUCGUCGUUAUCGAAGCCUAGGUGAAGAUUCGGAGGCUCAGGAGCACGACCCUCGGAUUCGUGGUCGAACAGGGCUAGAUUUGGCCUUCGCUUGAUGACCGUCGGCCGAAUACAGAGGCAAAACAGCAAUUGAAGUCUUUCUUUUUUUUUUUCGGCCGAAUGAGAGGGGAGGAGGCUAAGGCUUAGUUUGGAUGGGCGGUGUGUUUUCUUGGUGAGAUUGAAUACUAUAGCGGUGAGAAUAAAAAUAGCAGUGGAUAUGUGUUUGGAUUCAAACGUAGUUGUAGCGGUGAGAUGAGAAUAAAAAAUGACCAUUAUAGACAUUAGUUUACAAUGUAUUUAUAAUAAAAUAAAUAAUUAAAUUUAUAUUAAUAUUAAAUAAUAUAACAUAAAAUAAAAUUUUAUUUUUUAUAAAAUGAUAAUUAAAAUAUUAUAAUCAUAUGCAAUAAAAUUUAAAUAUUUUUAAAUUAUAUUAAUAAUAAAUAAUAAAACAUAUUUAAAUUUUUUAUAUUAAAUAAUAAUUAAAAUUAUAUAUUUAUGACAAUAAAUUUAUAUAUUUAUUAAAUUAUUAUAUAAUAAUAUCUAAUAAUAUUUUACUUUCUAUAAAGCUCAAAAAAAAAAAAACAAAGAACAAGGGUAAUAAAAUCACUCACCUCAGUUUCUUCACCACUGUCACCUUUGGCUUCAGUGAAAAUUGAGAACAGCAGUGUAGUGAGAGUGCUCAAUUGCACAUUGCACUGCACCUCAAAUCUCUCAAAUCUUCCAAACAAGAAAUCAGUGCAGUGAAAAGGAAUAUUCACCCAAUAUUCCAUCUCACCGUGGGUAAAAUCUAAUCCAAAGGGAGCCUAAGUUUUGGUGUUGAUUUCAAAUGACUGAGCAUUAGUUUAAGGUUUCUUUUAAUUUUGUUUUUAUAAAGAGUAAAACGGCACCGUUUGAGGGGGACACUUAAUUACGUUGGGUAAAUUCCACACUCGUGUCCCUCCCUAUUUUGCCGUCAUCUGAUUGAGUCCCAUUUAUGUUUCUUUUGUUUUUUUUUAAUUCUUUCCUAAAACUUAUAUGCUGUUUUGAUUUGAUCCAUGUUUACAUGGGGCGUUCAGAAACUUGGAAUAAUGGUGUUUUUAAUACCUGCACAUUCAUGCCCAUCGCACUUUGGUCCUUAUUUUUAUUUAAUGGUUUAUUUUAUUUAGUUUGGGUCUGUUUUAAUUAAGUUUUUUUUAUUUCAAUAGGCAUAAUACUCUAGUUCUUUAACUUAUUUAACAUUUUUAAUUAUUUAAAUAUACAUCCGUAAUUAUUUUGAUGGUUGUGCCUUGCUUUAAUUCAUUUUUUUACUGUUUAAUUACAUUUUUUUUAUAUCAUAUUGUUAAAAUAUUGUGUAACAUUUAAUUUUUUUUUUAUAUCAUUGUAUAUAUGUAGUUUAUAUUAAAAUUGGUUUUACCCAUUUUCAUGCUGUUUCAUGUAUAUGUUUUCUUCUGAAUCUAUAUAUAUAUAUAUAUAUAUAUAUAUAUAUAUAUUCUUUUAAAUCUAUUUAUGUAUAUAUUAUUUCUUCUUAAAUCAUCAUACGUAGUAUUUAUUUUGAGAUUCUUAUACGUAUUUUGGUAUUUUAGAUUAUUACAUGUAUAUAUAUAUUUAUUUUAAACAUUUUUCUAUGCAUUAUCUUACAUCAAAUUUCUCUUUUCACAUUAUUCUUUCUACAUUUUUUUAUAUGUCAUUUGAGUUAAACUCUAUUUCAAUUUCUUAUAUAUUAUUUAGUUACAUUAUUUUACAUGAAAAUUAUUUUAAACUCUUUUAUUAUUCAUUGUAAACCUUUAUUAUUGCUAAUUUUAAGACUAUAUAGGUAUUUAUUUUAAACUUUUUUAUAUAUUAUUUUAGAUAUAUAUAUUUUAUUAUUUAUUUUAAAUUUCUCUUUUACACAUUACUCAUUUUAAGCUCUUUUGUAAGUUAUUUUAAAGUGUCCUUGUUAUUUUUCUAUCUAUUUUUAUUUUUUCAUUUUUUGUGCAUUAUUCAUCUAGAUUCAUUUAACAUAUUGUUUAUUUGAAGUUUGCUUUAUAUAUAUUAUUUUAUGCCAAAAUAUUAUAUAUGUUAAUUAUUGUUUUAUAUUCUUUACUUUAAAUUGCUUUUUUAUUUUAAAAUCAUGUAUGUUUUAUUUAUUUAAAAUUGUUUUAUUAUUUUAAGUUGUUUAUGUCCCCUUUUAAAACUCAGUUUAUUUAUUUUAAAUAUUUUAUUUAUUACUCAUUAUAAGUUAUUUCCUAAUAUUAUUACCAAUUUUAUACUUAUAUAUACAUAUAUAUAUCUAUGUACGCAUCAUUUAAUCUAAAAUUUUUGUAAAUAAAUAUAUCAUAUUUUCUCAAAUUAUUUUAUAUAUUAUCGAUUUUAAAGAUUCAUCUUUUACUUUAUUUACUUUUAAAACUUAGUCAUCAUUAUGUUGAAUAGUUUGUAUAUUCCAUUCGUUUUAAUUUGCCUCAUACCAUUUAUUUUUUAGAGUGUCACAUAUGUUAUUUAUUUAUUUAUUUUUGCUCCUUGAUCACUAAUGUUAACAUUUACACAAUGCAUGUUGAAUGGUUAUUAUUGUGCCUUAAUUUAUUCACUUGCAUCUUUAUCUUUGUCGUACAUUUGUGAUAUUAUUCUCGUAUUAUUAUUUCAUGCUUUAUACUCCCUUUUAUUUUAUUUCAUUUAAAUUAUAUCGCGCAUCAACCUCAAAUGUAUUUGUCCAAGCACGGACUGUUUUAAUCCAAACAAAUAAUACAUGUCGUUUAAGUAUCGUAUUGGCUAUGGUUUAAAAACAAAAUCUUCUAAAUAAGGCAAUGAUCGGUAUUUGGGAAUUCAAGGAAAUGUGUCCUAACUUACUGGGUUUCGAAUUUUCUUGUCCAUCCUAAAUAACCGAACAUCCUCUUAAAAAGGGGCUAAAAUAUAUGAAUUUUAAAUAAAGGUAAGCUCAUUCUCAAAGUUCGAAAUGUCGUGUCCUAAUUUACUAGGCGUGACGUUUUAUUAUUUUGAGAUGAGGGAGUCCUUAACAUCCGUUUUAACUUAUUUGAUCAUUUUUAAAUUAGCAUUAAUUCAAAGAAGGAUUGUGUUUUAAAUUCUUUCAAGUUUUCAAAUCUUUGACAUUAAGACACUAAUUAAUCAACUAGGUAUCAAUUUUGGGCGUAUCGAGGGUGCUAAUCUUUCCUCGUGCGUAACAGACUUCUGAACCUGUUUUUUUUAUUUACGUGGACCAAAAUCAUUGUUUAAAUAAAUCAAACCAUUUAUUAAAAAUAAUCACUUUUACGAGGUGACCCGAUCACACCUCAUCAAAAAGGAUUUGUGGCAAUUCCUCUAUUCGUUUUCAUUUUCAAAAUCUAAAUCGAUUCCCGUUUUUUCCUAAAAAAAAUGGUUUCGACAAUAUUUAUGUUAAAAUAAUAAUUCUAUUAAUAAAAUGAAAAAAUUAUACCAUUAUAUUUUUGUAUUUUAUUAUUGAUGCAGUUUUUAUGUUUUAUUUAAUUGUUAUUUACAUUAGUCUAAUAGUAUAGUGGUAUACUAAAUUAUAACGCACAGAGUGAAAAAAUAUAUAUAAUAAAUAUAUUUAUAAAAAAAUAAUUAUCAAAUUUAGCUGAAAUGGUAAAGAUAUUAAAAUUUAUGGUAUUUUCAUACAACUUGAAAUAACAAUAAUAUCCCCACAGUAACGUUUAUUAUUAAAAAGAAAUGGUUUUUGGUAAUUGUUCAAUUGAGUUAGGACUCGGUUGAAGAGCUAUGUCAACUCAACAAGCUCAUUAAAUAUAGUACUAGACUACAUUCUGGCACACCCACGUACUUGAGAGUUUCCUACCUCAUACGGCUCGGCAGUCAAUUCUUUUGGUAUCCCAUUUUUUUGCCCUACCAUAUAUUCAAUUGAAUGAGAUUUCUCAUAGAUCUAUCGAUUUGUCUCGGGUUAACUAAAAGGGGUUAAGGUGUUGGGUUAAGUCCCGCAACGAGCGCAACCCUCAUGUUUAGUUGCCACCGUUGAGUUUGGAACCCUGAGCAGACUGCCGGUGAUAAGCCGGAGGAAGGUGAGGAUGACGUCACGAUGUAUGUGAAAACAAAUAUAUAAUAAAUUUAUUAAAAACGACAUAAAAAUUAAAUAUGAGAAAAAUGAGAAAUUGAACAUUAAAGUAUCUUGAGUUCAAACCUUUUCAUAUGCAAAAACAAUUUUUUUUAAAAAAAAAAAAAGAAAAAGAAAAUAACAACAAAGUAAACAAGUAUCAUUCUUGAUAGAGUAAUUCCAUCCAGAUCCUUAUGGAGAAUUCUUAAAACUUCAUCUGAUGUUGCUUGAAACAAUGAAUUCCAAUAUCCUCAGCAAAAGUUAUAGUCGCCAUCUUAUCAGCAACCAAAGCAUAAUCACCUUUAACAUAAUGUAUGUUGCUUUUUAAAAUAAAUGAAUUUUGAUAAAUUCUCACCUAAAUAUUGGAAUUAGUAACACAAAUUUAAUCAAAGACAUUAUAUAUAAUAUAAAAAGAUAUAUAUUAAUAUCAUUUUGAUUAAUGUAAAAGCAGUAUAUUAAUAUUAGGGUAAACUAUAUCCAAGUUCACAGAACUAUUAGUAGGUUUACGUUUUGGUCACUCGAUUUUAAAAAGUUAUAAAAUGGUCACUAAACUGUGUGAAAGUUUUAAUUUAAGUCAUUGGGUUGUUAAAAUCGUCACUUUAUGGCCUUCUCUAUUCUCACCUCUUACACCAAUUGAAAGGGUAAACUUUCCCUCCUCUUCUACAAUUUUUUUUUUAUGAAAUAGCUUUGAACGUCACCAAUUUGCGAAUCAAAAUUUGAGUAACUUUCGUCUCCAAUCUUUGGCACCAAUCAUCAAAUCAACUUGGAUUGAGAUAUGUUCUAGUUGUCAAUGGGUACUACUCUGUUGUGCUAGUCGUUGAAUUGUCACUUAAAGCUGGCCGGUUGGACUUUUAAAAUAAAAAGAUUUCACAAUCUAGUAACUUAAAUGAAAACAUUUGUAUAGUUUAAUGACUAUUUUGUAACUUUUUAAAGUUGAGUAACCAAAAUAUAAACUUACUAAUAAUUUAGCGAUCUAAGUAUAGUUUACCUUUAAUAUUGAUAAAUAAUUCAUUUUGGAUCAUACGGGACCAUUAUAAGUUCUUUGUCUCACAUUUUACCAUUAGCUCCUAAGAGCUCUUUUCCCUUCAUUCUCAAGUUAAUAACAUUUAAUUUUUAAAAUUUUGAUAAUGUUGUUUUAUAAAUGUUGUUGAUACCGGGUAUCAACAAAGAAGGAGAUAAUGAGAAAUAAGUGAUGAUAUAAGGAAUGUCAGUUCACCUAAACAGACGGAGAGUUGGAGAAAGUAAGUGAUAAAGUAGGAGAGUAUGUUAGUAAAGGAGGUUGGCGAGCAGUAUAGUGCUCACGGUUGCUAAAGGGACAAAAGAUCUCUUCUCCAUUGCAACAACUAAAUGUAUUUAUAAGAAGUCUUGAGGCUGGUGAUAUUACAUCAACGACGGAAUAGGUGGUGGUCCUCUUGUGUGGUCGAUCAGGUGGUAAGUUGCUUAUCCUUGUGCAUUGUACUGCUCUGACAUUCCUUGGUGUAAGGUAGUACGAGGUUAUUAUGCAUGUGUCUUUGGUGGUCCCCUCCAGGAAGUGAGUGCAUUCCUGUUAAAAACUGAUGAUCAAGAAUACAGGGUACCCAAGUGGCUAGACACUAAGCAGUGAAGGGUUGUCCAGGCACUCUUCAGGUGGAUAAUGCACCAAGUGUUGUAAGGGGAAAUGUCAGUGGAGAGCAGUCCAUGAGUGCCUCUCUAAUGUUCUCUCACAGUGCCACAUGUCCUCAUAGGGUAAUGGUAUAACAAAUUUAUACAAAUAUUUUAAUUUAUCACUUAUUUAAAAUUAUUUAUUAUAUUAAAUUAUAAAUAUAAUUCAAAUGAAUUAGAUAGUAAUUUAUUUAUUUAUUUCUAUAUGAGAUGCAAAAGAAAGAGGCUAAAGAAAUUCUUGAACAUCCCAAGCCCAAUUAAAGGAGCCCAUGAAAUAAAACAUACCCAUGUGUUGUGACCCAUUCAGGCUGGGCAAAUACUUCGAUAGCUCAUGGCAAUCAGCCUAACAUAAAUUCGUUUUAAAUAAUAAAAAAUAUUUUUAAAUCUAAAUUUAAAAACAUUAAUAUAAAACAGCUCCUUGACAUUUUUUAGGUAGCGAAACAAUAAAUUAAAUUUUUUUUAAAAAAAUUAGAAAAUAUAUUUACAAUUUUUUUUGAGUUAAUAUAUAUAUUAAAAAAAUUGGGCCUUUUCCAACCCUGGGCCCUGGACGACUAUACCUUCAGACUACCCCAAGGCCGUCUAAUAUAAAACAUAUUUUAAAAUUCGAGUAACAUUUAGAACUCUAAAACGGCCGAGUGGCUAUAAAUUGAAAACGAGUCUACCUUGAAAAAAAUCAUUUUGUAAACCAGCUAUGACAACCUUUACUCAAUCCAACAAAUAACCAACUUCAAAUGGAACAAUCUUUUCUCAUUAUAAUCAUAUACUUCAGUAUAUAUAAAAUGGUUUGAUUUUGUCAAUUGAGUUUGUAAUGGACCAAAUCUGGGCCCAACUAACAGAAGCCCAAAACCCAACAGCAGCCCAACCCAAACACAAAACAAAAAAAGGAACUGAAAACCCUAGCCUAAUCAGCUGCUGCCUCCACUUGCACUGUCGCUGUCCCAUCCACCACCGACGUCAACCCUCUACUGCUUCCAACCACUACCAACUUGCACCUGCAGAGAGAAGAAAUAAUCAUCAACAAGCAACUUGUAAAUGGCUAUAAAAGCCUUUAAAAUUCUAUGUAAGGGGGAUUUUUUUUGGAGAAAAAUAAAAACGAAAUUUUCAUAAAAAAAAACACAAAAACAGAGAUUGAGAACCAAAAAGAGAGAAUAAUCGAAAAGCAAAACUAAAUCAGGAGGUGAUUUCUUUUCUUUUCUUCUUAUUUUUUUUAACUUUCGAAUUCUUUUUUUUCAUUUCUUUCUUUUUCUUUCAACAUAAACAUAUACAUAAAUAUAAAACAAAAAAAAAACAAAAAAACUUCACCUUUUGCGAUUUUCGGCCACCGUAUACGGUGGCCGACAGCGGUCGCCGGCGACGGCCGGCACGGCGGUGGUCGAUAGGAGCAAGGCCGGAAUUCGGGAAAAGAGAGAACUUUUCUUGAGAAAAUUUUUUUUUUUUUUUUUAAGAAAGGUGGGCUGAAAUGAGGGAAAAAGAAAUUUUGGGGCAUUUAUAUAGGAUCCAAAACGACGUCGUUUUGGACUUAAGUCCCAGUGCCAAAACGACGUCGUUUCAUCACAACCCGGAUUUCUACCCGACCCAUUAAAGGGGAUCCGCGUGUUUUAUUUUGAAUGGGUUAUUUUGUCUCUGGUCCUCCCGAUUUUUAUUCUUUUGCAAUCAAGUUUUGUUUUAUUUUAAUUUGGCCUCGUACUUUGGCUUCGUGUUCAUUUUGGUCCCAUGCUAAGUGUAGUGUUUUGGAGGGAAGGGAAAUUUACCCUUUUAGUCCCCAACGUUAUUCACACGCUUCGAUGGGUCCCUUCCUUUACUUUUAUUUUCAAUUUGGGCCCAAAUUCUUCUAUUUUUUUUUAGAUUUGUCAUUCAAUUUUAUUUCAUAUUUAAUUGGGUCCCUUGGCUCGUUGGUGCUCUAUGAAUCUCAGGAAAUUUGGGGGUUAUUGCGCAUUCAACCCCUGUUUAUGUGCGUGCCUUACUGAUUAAUUUAUUUUAUCACAAUUCUUUGCUGUUAAUUUUGUUUUUGCUCUGAUUUGAUCCAUAAUUCAUUUGACUUCACCCCCAUGUGCUAAUUUGUUAUUUGUUUACUUACUUAAGUUUUAUAUUAUUUAUUUUAAGUUGUUUUAUUAUUUAUUUUAAGUUUUAUAUAUUAUUUAUUUCAUACAUUUUUUCAAGUUUUAUGUACGUAUUAUUUUAAAAAAAAAAACUAUUUGGUACAUUAUUGAUUUUAAAUUUCUUUCCAUAUAUUAUUUAUUUUAAACCCC